Molecule: ribosomal RNA, 495 nt
Filed under: uncultured bacterium
Lineage: Bacteria
Description: partial 16S ribosomal RNA
Rfam family: Bacterial small subunit ribosomal RNA
Source: RNAcentral
GACGAACGCUGGCGGCGUGCCUAAUACAUGCAAGUAGAACGCUGAAGGAGGAGCUUGCUUCUCUGGAUGAGUUGCGAACGGGUGAGUAACGCGUAGGUAACCUGCCUGGUAGCGGGGGAUAACUAUUGGAAACGAUAGCUAAUACCGCAUAAUAGUAGAUGUUGAAUGACAUUUGCUUAAAAGUUGCAAUUGAAUCACUACCAGAUGGCCUUGCGUUGUAUUAGCUAGUUGGUGGGGUAACGGCUCACCAAGGCGACGAUACAUAGCCGACCUGAGAGGGUGAUCGGCCACACUGGGACUGAGACACGGCCCAGACUCCUACGGGAGGCAGCAGUAGGGAAUCUUCGGCAAUGGACGGAAGUCUGACCGAGCAACGCCGCGUGAGUGAAGAAGGUUUUCGGAUCGUAAAGCUCUGUUGUAAGAGAAGAACGAGUGUGAGAGUGGAAAGUUCACACUGUGACGGUAUCUUACCAGAAAGGGACGGCUAACUACGUG